UACGUAGGUGACAAGCGUUGUCCGGAUUUACUGGGCGUAAAGAGCGCGCAGGCGGUCGUUCAAGUCGAGUGUGAAAGCCCCCGGCUCAACUGGGGAGGGUCAUUCGAUACUGAUCGACUCGAAGGCAGGAGAGGGAAGUGGAAUUCCCGGUGUAGUGGUGAAAUGCGUAGAUAUCGGGAGGAACACCAGUGGCGAAGGCGGCUCACUGGCCCGGUACUGACGCUGAGGUGCGAAAGCGUGGGGAGCAAACAGG
Molecule: ribosomal RNA, 253 nt
Filed under: uncultured bacterium
Lineage: Bacteria
Description: partial 16S ribosomal RNA
Rfam family: Bacterial small subunit ribosomal RNA
Source: RNAcentral